Molecule: long non-coding RNA, 603 nt
Organism: Morus notabilis
Lineage: Eukaryota; Viridiplantae; Streptophyta; Magnoliopsida; Rosales; Moraceae
Exons: 3
Source: RefSeq, a predicted model, not a curated record
UCUAGUUUACUUUUAGUUGCAAACUUUGAGAGGGUAUGAUCAUAUGUAGCAGAGACCAAGAAUUACCAAAAGCUUAUGCUUCUAUAGUACCAAUACUGCCGUACCAUUUUUGUUAGGAUAAGUUUUAUUUUUGCUCCCCAAACUUUAGUAACUAUGUCAUCUUGCCCCUUAAACUUUAAAACAACAAAAAAACCCACCCCUGAACUUUAUCCUUACUAAAUUUAGGUGCACAUUGGCAUCAGUUGACAGUGUUUAACAGAAGGAGCAAAAGUAAUAAUAGUUUAAAGUUUGAAGGGCGUCUAGGCCAGUUUUUUAAAGUUCAGGAAGCAAAUUAUAGAACAACUAAAGUUCUGUGGUAAAAGUAAAAUUUAUCCUUUUUGUCAUCUGAACCCACUUCGGCAUCCAAAUGUACUGCUCUUUAUGGGAGCUGUGACUUCACCUCAACGUCUUUGCAAUAUUGUGACAGAGUACCAUCCACGUGCAGUGGAAGUUUGUUUCGCUUGCUACAUAACAGCACAAUAAAAUUAGAUUGGAGAAGGCGGGUUUAUAUGGCCCGGGAUAUUGCACGGGGUGUCGAUUAUCUUCAUCAUUGUAACCCACCCG